RNAcentral lists this ribosomal RNA (600 nucleotides) under Microbacterium sp. RNAcentral describes it as "bacterial SSU rRNA". It matches the Rfam family "Bacterial small subunit ribosomal RNA", at positions 85 to 698 of the family's 1533-position model. The record is from RNAcentral. Lineage: Bacteria; Bacillati; Actinomycetota; Actinomycetes; Micrococcales; Microbacteriaceae.
CUGUGGAUCAGUGGCGAACGGGUGAGUAACACGUGAGCAACCUGCCCCUGACUCUGGGAUAAGCGCUGGAAACGGCGUCUAAUACCGGAUAUGAGCUGCGAUCGCAUGGUCAGCAGUUGGAAAGAUUUUUCGGUCUGGGAUGGGCUCACGGCCUAUCAGCUUGUUGGUGAGGUAAUGGCUCACCAAGGCGUCGACGGGUAGCCGGCCUGAGAGGGUGACCGGCCACACUGGGACUGAGACACGGCCCAGACUCCUACGGGAGGCAGCAGUGGGGAAUAUUGCACAAUGGGCGAAAGCCUGAUGCAGCAACGCCGCGUGAGGGAUGACGGCCUUCGGGUUGUAAACCUCUUUUAGCAGGGAAGAAGCGAAAGUGACGGUACCUGCAGAAAAAGCGCCGGCUAACUACGUGCCAGCAGCCGCGGUAAUACGUAGGGCGCAAGCGUUAUCCGGAAUUAUUGGGCGUAAAGAGCUCGUAGGCGGUUUGUCGCGUCUGCUGUGAAAUCCCGAGGCUCAACCUCGGGUCUGCAGUGGGUACGGGCAGACUAGAGUGCGGUAGGGGAGAUUGGAAUUCCUGGUGUAGCGGUGGAAUGCGCAGAUAUC